GCCUAGAUGGCAUGUGUAUGAUUGAGUACAAGAACUCGAACCACAACUGGAUCUUGAAAGCCAAAGUAGUGUUUCCUUGUUAGAAGAUGCAACGCCAAUUACUCAUACGGACUUCGGCUACACCGUCAAAGCUUUGAGAAGCAAGAAGAAUCUUGGUUUGUGUUUUGGAGUUAAAUAUAAAGUGAUGUGAUGUCUAUGGUUGAAUAUUAGAACUUGAACCGCAAACGGAUCCAAAAAGGAAAAGUAGUGUU
This 251-nucleotide small RNA is filed under the name Arabidopsis thaliana (thale cress). RNAcentral's name for it is "ATSL162740". Lineage: Eukaryota; Viridiplantae; Streptophyta; Magnoliopsida; Brassicales; Brassicaceae. The record is from RNAcentral.